RNAcentral lists this long non-coding RNA (3412 nucleotides) under Mustela putorius furo (domestic ferret). RNAcentral describes it as "lncRNA (ENSMPUG00000025833.1)". The record is from RNAcentral. Lineage: Eukaryota; Metazoa; Chordata; Mammalia; Carnivora; Mustelidae.
CUGGGACAGUGGCGGACCUGGAGAGGGGAUGGAAUCUUAGGGGGGCCUUACCCCAUACCCUGCCUUGUACAGCUCUUCCAUCUGGCUGUUCCUGAGUUCUAUCCUUUUGGAAUAAACCAAUGACCUAACUUUUCCCCUGAAAAAAACCUCACACAAAUGGGGCUCUGGUGAUGAAAGUAUGAGGAACCAGGAUGAAGUUACCUGUUUGUUUCCCUCUCUCCAGUCCUCCAGUCUCAUUCCCUGGGAUUACUUCCCAAGAGAAAUGCCGGCUCUGCCCAUGAGCUCUUGUCUAAGACUCCUUCUGGGGAAAUCCAAGGCAACUGGUUUAUCAUGUGCUGGUGUUUAUUCCCUCUCUCCUCUGGCCUUGAAGAAGCUCAGCACGAGACUGGCGUCAACAUCUUUCCAACUCCAGAUGACCCGCAAGUUCACCUUUUGGGAGUAACUUUCCCUCACACUUUGUAUUUGACCCGAUUAGCUUUUUUAUUUUGGCAUUGUUCUACUGUAUUUUAUGUCUCUAUAUAAUCUGCUUGAAAUCAUUUUUGGAAGACAGAGUACACAAAAAUUGACAAACUGUAUGAAGUCAGAAACAUACUGAGUUCCCUCAGGGUCUUUCCUUUCCUUGAGAAACACAGUUUGGUGCAGUGGGAGGAAUGAUGUGGAAAGGGGACCACCAGUCUCUGAAAGUGCUCUCCUCACAGGCGAGGCCUGAGCCAAGUUGCUUAGCUUCCCCAGACAUCAGGCUUGAGGAGGUUUGCUUUCAUCCCCGAAAUUCAUGGAACUUUCUCUUGUCCUGGUUUCCCUGACUGCCCUAAAGUAAGUGUGUAUGAUGAGAGGGGCCCAUUUACCAGACACUUCAUGAGGCUGUGUAUGUAGAGCUAUAUAUGAGCUACACUAUGCCACGUGGAAAUCGUCACACUCGUCGCCCUAAACCCCAGCUUCUCAGAGUGGAUUGUGGAGAAUUUCUUUCAGGACUUGCCAUCACCAUAUUUAUAGCAGUUUCAUUUAUAUGGUGAAAACAAUUUGAUACAACAUACAUACUCCACUCUAGGAAACCAGAAUAAGUGGUUUCUCAAAUGUAAUUUAAAAAUCGUGAAUCACUUCUCAGCCUUUUGGCUAAGAUCAAGUGUAGAAAUUGUGAAAAGAGGUGCACCUGGCUGACUCAGUGGGUGGAACAUGCAACUCUUGAUCUUGGGUUGUGAAUUUGAGCCCCACAUUGGGCAUGGGGAUUACUAAAAUAAAUAAAUGAAGUAAAUAUUAAGAUCAUGUAGGAAUAUGGAAAGGAAUGUAUAUAAUAAAACAAAAGAAAAUAUGAAAUAAAUUGCUGGAUAUUAUAUAAAGUCAAAUCUGGAGGUGCCUGGGUGGCUCAGUCAGGUAAGCGUCUGCCUUCAGCUCAGGUCUUGAUCAUUGGGUCCUGGUAUCGAGUAUUGGGCUCCCUGCCCAGUGAGGAAGCUGCUUCUUCCUCUGCCUCUGGCAGUCUGUUUGUGUUCUCUCUCUUGCUCACUCUCUUUCUUCAAAUAAAUAAAUAAAAUCUUUAAAAAGUUAAAUAUGACUACACACAAUUUUUUUUAAAGAGUUAUUUAUUUGAGAGAGAGAGAGAGAGAAAAAGUUAGGGGUGAGGGGCAGAGGGAGAGAGAGAGAGAAUCUCAAGCAGACUCCAUCCUGAGCAUGGAGACUGACGAGUGCCAGGCUUGAACUCACAACCCUGAGAUCAUGAGCCAAAAUCAAGAGUUGAUGUUCAACCCACUGUGCUGCCCAGGUGCCUCUUGACUGCACAGGAAUUUAAAUGGCUGAGUUUGAAGUAGGGUUGUAAGUAUACUUCGGGGGUGUGACAGGAAAAAAAUGAUUAAUACUAAUAUUAAAUCACUGGUUGCUUUGAACCUUUAGGUUCAAAUCUUUGGAUAGACUGUAACUUAUGCAGGUAUUAGUGCCCAUAAGUGUGUUCAAGCCACAAAUUCUUCAUCCAUGGAUCUCAUAAUUAUUUGAGAAAAUGUCAAGUUAAUUUAUUGCCUCAUGAAAAACUUUGGACAGGUUCUCUUAGGGUUUUCACAGUUUGCAGUCUUAUUUUGGCUUUAACAGGGCUAAGUCUUUUCCAAGAGUUUAUUUUCUUCUGCUGCUUAUUCUCUACUGUAUAAGUCAUAAUUCCGUGUUUGUAGCAAAAUAAUCAUUUCCAUAGUAACCAACUGGGAUGUCUUAAAAAGAGGAUUAUGACUUCAGGAAAGGAAUAAACAACAGGAGCAGACGAAUAAUGAAAAUAAUCAGGACUCUUAUUCUUAAAAAGAAUGAAGAAAUAUUUGGUUGAGAAAGUGUGCCAUAAGUCCUUCAGAAUUAUUUCUAUCUUAAAAACACUACUUCAGGAGCACCUGGGUGGCUCAGUGGGUUAAGACUUCUGCUUUCUGCUCAGGUCAUGAUCCCAGGGUCCUGGGAUGGAGCCCCGCAUCGGAUUCUCUGUUCAGCAGGGAGCCUGCUCCCCCCCACCGCCCUCUGCCUGCCUCUCUGCCUACUUGUGAUCUCUGUCUGUCAAAUAAAUAAAUAAAAUCUUUAAAAAAAAAAAAUCCUUUAAAAAAAAAACAAAAACACUACUUCAGCUUGGUGUUCCAGGAGACAUCCUUUACUCAAAGAGGCAGCUACUCUUGUACCAGAGACCACUGUAUGCAUAGAAGAGAUGAGGGGUGAAGGGAAGCCUAAUAAAUUCUCCAUAACAUUUUACACUUGAUCUUAGCCAGAAGGCCAAGAAGCAAUCUCUCUAUAACAUUUUAAUCAGUUAUUGUUUAUUGAAAAGAAUAUAGGCCCUCUGUAUAGGGCCAGAGCUGAACUACUUUAUUUUUUAAUUUAUUUUUCUAGAAACUCAUGGGGCAGUAGGAUAAAAAGAGUAAACCAUUUGAAUACAUUGUUUAAAUGAAGCAGGGAUUCAUUUGGCCUGUACAUUUCCUAUUAAAAAAAGCAUUCUAGGGGUGUCUGGGUGGGUCAGUAGGUUAAGCAUCUGCCUUCAGCUCAGGUCAUGAUUCUGGGGUCCUGGGAUCAAGCCCCGCAUUAGGCUCCCUGCUCAGUGGGGAGCCUGCUUCUCCCUCUCCCUCUGCCUGUUGCUCCCCCUUGCUUGCACUUUGUCUCUAUCAAAUAAAUAAAUAUAAUAUUUUCAAAUAAAGAGAUAGAUAGCAUUUGAGGGGCACCUGGCUGGCCCAUUUGGUGGAGCAUGAGACUCUUGAUCUCAGGGUUCUGAGUUCGAGCCCCACAUUGGGUGUAGAGAUUGCUUAAAAAUAAAAUCUUAAAAAAAAAAAAAUUAGAAGGGUGCUUGGGUGACUCAGUCAGUUAAGCAUCUGCCUUUGGCUCCGGCCAUGAUUUCAGGGCCCUGGGAUCAAACCCCAUGUUGGGUUCCCUGCUCAGCGAGGAAUCGGCUUCUCCUUCUCUUUCUGCC